RNAcentral lists this ribosomal RNA (120 nucleotides) under uncultured bacterium. RNAcentral's name for it is "partial 16S ribosomal RNA". It matches the Rfam family "Bacterial small subunit ribosomal RNA", at positions 796 to 916 of the family's 1533-position model. The record is from RNAcentral.
CUGGCCGUAAACGAUGAAUGCUAGGUGUGCGUGUAGAGAUACAUACGUGCCGGAGUUAACGCGAUAAGCAUUCCGCCUGGGGAGUACGGUCGCAAGAUUGAAACUCAAAGGAAUUGACGG